Molecule: ribosomal RNA, 471 nt
Filed under: Escherichia coli
Lineage: Bacteria; Pseudomonadati; Pseudomonadota; Gammaproteobacteria; Enterobacterales; Enterobacteriaceae
Description: bacterial SSU rRNA
Rfam family: Bacterial small subunit ribosomal RNA
Source: RNAcentral
CGAGUGGCGGACGGGUGAGUAAUGUCUGGGAAACUGCCCGAUGGAGGGGGAUAACUACUGGAAACGGUAGCUAAUACCGCAUAACGUCGCAAGACCAAAGAGGGGGACCUUCGGGCCUCUUGCCAUCGGAUGUGCCCAGAUGGGAUUAGCUAGUAGGUGGGGUAAAGGCUCACCUAGGCGACGAUCCCUAGCUGGUCUGAGAGGAUGACCAGCCACACUGGAACUGAGACACGGUCCAGACUCCUACGGGAGGCAGCAGUGGGGAAUAUUGCACAAUGGGCGCAAGCCUGAUGCAGCCAUGCCGCGUGUAUGAAGAAGGCCUUCGGGUUGUAAAGUACUUUCAGCGGGGAGGAAGGGAGUAAAGUUAAUACCUUUGCUCAUUGACGUUACCCGCAGAAGAAGCACCGGCUAACUCCGUGCCAGCAGCCGCGGUAAUACGGAGGGUGCAAGCGUUAAUCGGAAUUACUGGGC